Molecule: non-coding RNA, 425 nt
Filed under: Chlorocebus sabaeus (green monkey)
Lineage: Eukaryota; Metazoa; Chordata; Mammalia; Primates; Cercopithecidae
Description: Bacterial large subunit ribosomal RNA
Rfam family: Bacterial large subunit ribosomal RNA
Source: Rfam by way of RNAcentral
GCCCGUGAAGAGGCGGGCAUGAAACAAUAAGACGAGCAGACCCUAUGGAGCUUUAAUUUAUUAAUGCAAUUAAAACUACAUAAAUCUACCGCUUAUACCACUACACCUGCACUAAAAAUUUUGGUUGGGGUGACCUCGGAGCAUAACUAAACCUCCGAACAACCUAUGCUAAGGCUACACAAGCCAAACCGGACUAACACCUAUAAUUAAUCCAAUAACUUCACCAAUGGAACAAGUUACCCUAGGGAUAACAGCGCAAUCCCAUUCCAGAGUCCAUAUCGACAAUAGGGUUUACGACUUCGAUGUUGGAUCAGGACAUCCUAAUGGUGCAGCAGCUAUCAAGGGUUCGUUUGUUCAACAAUUAAAGUCCUACGUGAUCUGAGUUCAGACCGGAGCAAUCCAGGUCGGUUUCUAUCUAUUCUAUA